AACGCGAAGAACCUUACCUACCCUUGACAUCCUGCGAAUCCCGAUGAGAGUUGGGAGUGCCGAAAGGAACGCAGAGACAGGUGCUGCAUGGCUGUCGUCAGCUCGUGUUGUGAGAUGUUGGGUUAAGUCCCGUAACGAGCGCAACCCUUGUCCUUAGUUACCAGCAAGUAAAGUUGGGGACUCUAAGGAGACUGCCGGUGAUGAACCGGAGGAAGGCGGGGACGACGUCAAGUCAUCAUGGCCUUUAUGGGUAGGGCUACACACGUGCUACAAUGGGGCGUACAGAGGGUAGCCAACCCGCGAGGGGGAGCCAAUCUCAGAAAGCGCCUCGUAGUCCGGAUUGGAGUCUGCAACUCGACUCCAUGAAGUUGGAAUCGCUAGUAAUCGCGAAUCAGCAUUGUCGCGGUGAAUACGUUCCCGGGCCUUGUACACACCGAGACGUA
This 443-nucleotide ribosomal RNA is filed under the name uncultured bacterium. RNAcentral's name for it is "bacterial SSU rRNA". It matches the Rfam family "Bacterial small subunit ribosomal RNA", at positions 958 to 1398 of the family's 1533-position model. The record is from RNAcentral.